AUGAGACGUGCGCGACCUACGGGCUCAAUGUGGAGCGUGUCUUCCAGGACGGUAACUCGGGUGCUGGGUGGGAGUCACUGGCAGCCGCGGCCCCAGUGCUGGCGACAGGAAGGCUCCCAGUGAGCAAGGCUGUGUGUCUGGGGGGAGGUGCUAAGCCAGGCUUUUCCCUUCUCUCCAGUGGGUAUAAUUGACUCUGCUGUCCCCUGCAGUGGCCCAGAAGGUAGUGGCCUUGCGAAAGAAGCAGCAACUGGCCAUCGGGCCCUGCAAGUCACUGCCCAACUCGCCCAGCCACUCGGCAGUGUCCGCUGCCUCCAUCCCGGCCGUGCACAUCAACCAGGCCACGAAUGGCGGCGGCAGCGCCUUCAGCGACUACUCGUCCUCAGUCCCCUCCACCCCCAGCAUCAGCCAGCGGGAGCUGCGCAUCGAGACCAUCGCUGCCUCCUCCACCCCCACACCCAUCCGAAAGCAGUCCAAGCGGCGCUCCAACAUCUUCACGUCUCGGAAGGGUGCUGACCUGGACCGGGAGAAGAAGGCUGCCGAGUGCAAGGUGGACAGCAUCGGGAGCGGCCGCGCCAUCCC
This 579-nucleotide small RNA is filed under the name Pongo abelii (Sumatran orangutan). RNAcentral's name for it is "retained intron". Lineage: Eukaryota; Metazoa; Chordata; Mammalia; Primates; Hominidae. The record is from RNAcentral.